GUCAGCAUGGCAUAGUGGUUUGAGCACUGGACUACAAUUCAGGAGAUCAGGGUUUGAUUCCCGAUUGACCACG
Non-coding RNA from Phrynosoma platyrhinos (Desert horned lizard), 73 nucleotides. NCBI's taxonomy places the organism in Eukaryota, Metazoa, Chordata, Lepidosauria, Squamata, Phrynosomatidae. The record is from the annotation of a GenBank genome assembly.